CUCUCUACCCCCUCCUACACCCAGUUCCUCGGCCCCGCCCCGACCCCACGCCCCUGAGCCAGUGGUUAAAUCCCCCCAUGGUGCUGAGCUCGCACCUGCUCCCCACCAGGCGCAGCACCAUGACUGCCGGUCGCCUCUGCUCGCUGGCCGCAGCCCUCCUCCUUGGGCUGCUGCUGCCUGGCCUCCUCCGGGCCACAGACAUGAGACCAGAGAAACCGGGCGUGUGCCCACGGCUCCAGGUGGACCUGAACUGCACAGAGAAGAAAGGGUGCCUGUCCGACGGCGACUGCCCGGAGAACCUCAAGUGCUGCCAGGGCGGCUGCAGCACCGUCUGCUCCCUGCCCAACGAAAAGGUGGGUACUUGCCCCAGUGUGGACUUACCCCAGCUCGGCAUCUGCGAGAACCUGUGUGAAGAGGACAGCCAGUGUAGUGGCCUGAUGAAAUGCUGUCGCAAUGGUUGUGGAAAGGUGUCCUGCAUCACACCCAAAUUCUGAGGCCCCACCUCUGAACACUACUGCAUUAGGGAUCAAGCCUUCAAUACAUGAAUGAGUCUUCAGGGAGACACUUCAUAGUUAAACCGUAACAAUGGGAUGCUCCAACCAUCACCAGCCAGAGGAGCAGGGAAAGGAAGUUCUGCCUGGCCUCGAAUCUGGCUCCAUUGCAGCCACCCUCCUUUCUUUCUGGGUCCUGAAUUCUUUCCUGAGCUAACCACAGCUUCUCCCUUUCCCAGCCAAUAAAGUGACAGCUUUCAGCACU
Heterocephalus glaber (naked mole-rat) is the source of this 756-nucleotide RNA transcript. It is a transcript of the gene named WAP four-disulfide core domain 2, with no coding region annotated. The record is from RefSeq and is a predicted model, not a curated record. NCBI's taxonomy places the organism in Eukaryota, Metazoa, Chordata, Mammalia, Rodentia, Bathyergidae.